This 463-nucleotide ribosomal RNA is filed under the name uncultured bacterium. Its description in RNAcentral is "bacterial SSU rRNA". It matches the Rfam family "Bacterial small subunit ribosomal RNA", at positions 340 to 789 of the family's 1533-position model. The record is from RNAcentral.
UACGGAAGGCAGCAGUGGGGAAUAUUGCACAAUGGGCGAAAGCCUGAUGCAGCUAUGCCGCGUGUAUGAAGAAGGCCUUAGGGUUGUAAAGUACUUUCAUCGGGGAGGAAAAAACAAAACUAAUAAUUUUAUUUCUUGACGUUACCCGAAAAAGAAGCACCGGCUAACUCCGUGCCAGCAGCCGCGGUAAUACGGAGGGUGCUAGCGUUAAUCAGAAUUACUGGGCGUAAAGAGCACGUAGGUGGUUUUUUUAAAGUCAGAUGUGAAAUCCCUGGGCUUUAACCUAGGAACUGCAUUUUGAAACUGAAAUACUAGAGUAUCGUAGAGGGAGGUAGAAUUCUAGGUGUAGCGGUGAAAUGCGUAGAUAUCUGGAGGAAUACCUGUGGCGAAAGCGGCCUCCUAAACGAAUACUGACACUGAGGGUGCGAAAGCGUGGGGAGCAAACAGGGAUUUAGAUACCCGU